ACCACCACCACACACCACCACCACCACCACACACACCACCACACACACACACCACCACCACCACCACACACACCACCACCACCACACACACACCACCACCACCACACACACGCACACUAAAAGCAGAGUGGUAAACAGAUGCCAAAAAAAAUUAGAGGGGGUUGAAAUAACAAAAUGAUCAGAAGUUUCAAAGCAUCAUAUGAAAUUAUAGGGGAGAUGGUACACAAUGAGUAUAGCUCUCAUUCUGUUGCUACUGGCACACUUGAAUAAUUACAUAACCAUCCUUACUUACUAACCAUCACUUGUGCACUGUUCAUUCGCUCUCUCUUGCCUGCCCCCUUCCACCAUCAAUUUUGAUAAUUCUACAAAUCACCCUUAUACCAGUCUAUACUCGUUGCACCUGCUAUACACUCUCAUUACACUCCAUAUUCUUGAUAAUCUGCCCUAUUUAAGCUGGCCUUAAUGUUUGAAUGCUAUCUAGUUGUUUUAUUCCUCUAAUCAGUAGUACAUUAGAAGCUACUAAUUGAUGUCACUUCGGUACUGGUAUUCGAUUCUCCUUGCUUAAUUAAGUGUAUUUAAGGUUGGUCUCUUAAGUCCUCGCAUACAUUCUACCUUUGUCAAUCUGAACACAGGUUUUAGCGAGUAUUUUAGUAUUGGUAGCAGCAAACAAUAGUUAAAUUUAUUGCUCAAAUUGUUUCAUUCUGAAUACAUUGAACAGAUUGCUUAGAUUGAUAAAGGUUGAUCCAAUCUUUUUUCCUUUUUGAUCCCAAAGAUAACACAAGGAGAAUUAUUUUCAUAUUCAGACACAUUUAGUAGCAUCUAGAUGAUAAUGUCUUAAGUUUUUACACUUGUCUAUCCAAUGAUUGUUAAGAUGUCAGCAUGAGAACUCAAAAUACACUCUUGUACUGAGGUGGGUCAAGGAUGAUUUUACACACUAAACAUAUUUUAGUACAAGGAAUGAUUUUAAAAUACAAUGUGGAUAUUAUUUGAUCUUCAAUAGAGUGGUAACCUUCACUGUCGUCACUUUACAGCCUAAUAAGAAUAGGUUUUAAUAGUUUUGCUUGGGUAAUUUUAAUGAAGGUAGCUGUUGUAGAACUGUUUUUUUAAGUUCCAAAUCUAGGACUUCUAGAAAUUGUGGAUGUCUUCUAGUAAACUUGAUUAUCCUUUGAUGACAACACCUUUCUGAUAGUUUUGAGGGAUGAAUUGACAUUUUUAUUAAUGUUAGUUUUCAUUAUGAAUCUGAAAGUACCCAGUUGUACACAUUUACCCAGUUAGAAACUCAAUCGUGCAGGCACAAAUGGGUGAAUACAAGUAGCUGAUUACACACAUCUUUGCAAAUGGCCAUUCUAAAAUUGUUGCUAUUGGAGGAAAAUACUUAAUUGUUAGUAUUCACUUCAAAAAUAAUGUCCAGUUCUUGUCUUCUGUCAGUUGAAGACUUUUUAGAAUUACUUUAUAGCACAUAUAUUGAAAUGUCAAAUAAUUACAUUAAGAUUUUUUUUGUUUUUGUGUCAAAGAUGAAAGCAGGUUAAGCUGUCAUUAUUUUCUAGGUAAUAAGCUGACAUUGUUUUUUCUUUACUUACUAUUUGUCAAUUAUAAUGGUAUACAGUCUUCCCCGCACGGUGAACCUUUUUGUGCAUCUUUAUAAGGUAUUCCGUGAAAAAGUACCUUCGUUUUUACUUAAUUUCCAUUGAUUACUUCUAUGUUUGUAUUAACAACAUAAUGUUUGUGUUUUUGUUGACCUGCAUGGAGUCAAAUGCUAUUUUACUUGUACAUAGACCUGUUAAGUCCUGACAGCUCUUGGCUCAUACUGAAUAAGAUUUUUUGACAUGAAUGUCAUUCAAGUUUCCCUACCAUUAGCAUCUUGGACAAUAUUCAUUCAUAAAGGUGUUGGUUAACUCCUAAUCCUGGUCCAGGGUAAAGUAGUUGUUAGUGGUACCAUUGGCAUGCAGUUUUUGGUUAUAAACAUCCUCUUAUUUUAUUAUUUGUGGAGGGGGGAGGAGCCGUAAAUUUAAUGUCUUAUUUCAAAAUAAGUAACCAGCGCCAAGUUUAAAAUAGCAGAGAAAUUUGACAUUUUCUUACACUGCUUGUACAGCUAGAUUUGUUUCCAUGCUAAUCUCUCUCUCUCUCUCUCCUCUCUCUCUCUUGUCAUACAUACGUUUUCCAGAUUCAUUGCAAUGACAUGUGGGAAAUCUUUAAAGAUUUAAUGUGCUGGUUAUUACCAAACAAAUAAUUUAAAAAGCAGAAGCACUACUAUAAUUACAGUAUGUAGAACAGCCCUCACCAUGUAUAGAUACAAGGGAAGAGAAAAAGGCUGAUUAUCAAGCUUUAUUUCUUCAGCACCACUUUUGUGCUACUCAGGUAUAUAAAAUUAUAAAGCUCCAUUUUCUGUCAGUUAACCAGAUUCCAUACACAUUACUUGUUCUCUAAGAGAAACACAGCACUGUAUUUUAGUUGCAUUAACUAUAUUUUCCACCAAAUCAUGUCAUUUUAAACAAUAAGCGUUAUUUAUUCAUAUCCAUGUAAACAGACUCCUUUGCUUAAUCAUACCAUUUGCGUUUGUAGUUUGCCGAAGCUACACACACCAUGCAAUUUCACUCGUUUAAUCACGUUCAUCAUUUUUUUUGGUCUUGACAGCUUUUUUUUAAAGAUCUCAAGUGCUUCAUAUAAUAAAUGUACUGUAUUCUCAUUUCUAUUUCCAAUGAUUGAACCUUUAACAUGGUAAUACUAUAUAAAUCCAUUGCUACUUCAUGUAGCCUACUAGUCAUCAUCCCGUUCCAUGUUAGUUUCUUCAAUAAGUUCACGAUGGUACCCUGAACUAUAUUCUUAUAAACUCUUAUGGAAACAGAAGGAACAAUCUAUUAUAUUUCUUAAUUUAUUUAAAGAUAUCUUUGGAAAUCUUUAUUUAAAGACGAAAGUUUCGAAAAGGUCAUCUGUUUUCUUGAGUCUUAAGGACAAACAUUUGUUUGCUAUAAUUUGUUUGUCUAAAUUGUGGUUGGAUUGUGAUUAUUUACGUUUGCUAAUUUCAGGCACUGAUAAUGUUUGAUCCCAUCAACAAAAAUUACUUUUGGUAAAGUUUGUUAGUUGAAAUGCUAAUGUUACAUGAAAAUUUAUUUAUUAAGAAUAUGAUGGUACUGUAUUAACCAUUGAUGUUUGUUAUGGGUGGAGACUUGAGUCGUGUUCUAGCAAUCAUUAUAUGAAAGCGUAAUUGAUUACCCCAAGUUCACACACAAAAAGAUAUUAAAUACAGUAAUUAAAAUUUUCUUCAAAAGUUUUUGAAAUAGCCAUUAAAUUGUGUUGAUUUUUACACUGCUAUGAAAGAUACAUUUGGCCUAAAAGAAUUAUCAGACUGACAAGACAAAAGGAAUUAAGAUUUGUAUAGGGCUAAUUUUAUUUGGAAUAAUUUCAUGCCAAAGUAGUCAUGAUACAUCUGGGUAGAAUGUGCUGGUAGCCUGUUGUCUACAGGGAAAAAUAAAGUCCUGUAAAAGUGAUUUUGAUACUGUCUACAUCUGAUGUGUGUGCAAAUAUUAACCAGCAAAAGUAUCUACAUUUUAAUGAAAUUACAUACUAUAUUGUGCUGUACAUUAUGCUUUUGCUUUAUAAUUUAUUUUUGUAUUCAUACUUUUAUGCUCUUUGAUUCCAUAAGAUAUUUUUGUAAAUACAGUAAUUUUGGAGAAAAAUAAAUGGUAGUGUUGGAAUGCCUAGGACGGCUGUAACUUGGUAGUGCGCGAGUUGAUCACCCUGGACUGUUAUGUCAUAGUCGAGCACUUCUUGGUGUGGACACGAGCUUCUAAACCUAUACUGGUGACCCAGGAGAUUUGUGUACUGUAUUUUAUUGUGGUAAUCUAAUACUUGCCAUUAGAAUGUACAUUAUUUCCAGUGGUUAAAUAUUCUCGUACUGUCUGAAGUUUUUAUCCAGAUAUAUUAAUGAAUCUGAUAUAAUGCAUGUUACGCAUUCUGAAUGUUAUCCACAUGUUGUUUAGAAUGGGGUUCCAGAAUGAUUACUUGCAUAUAUAAAAGAAGCAAGGAUGCAACACACUGAAUGGAGGUUUCUAGUUUUCAUUAAAAGGCAGAUGUUAUAUUGCUCUUAACUAUUAAAUAGAAAGCGUCAGCACCAUGAAAGUGCUAGAAUGGAUCUUCCUGACUAGGCGUGUUAAUUGUUGGCUAGGCUUCUGGUCUUCCAGAAUUGAAUGAGGUAAGUAUACAAAUAUUUAUAGCGAGCCAUAUUUACUUUCACUUUUUGAUUAUUUAUCGUGUAGUACCCGUCUCUCGUGUGUGUGUGUAUCUGUAACAUUCUCGGAUUCAAUGAGUACUCCAGCUUCACAAAGUUUACAGUGAUAGUGACAAUUACGUACCAUCAGUGUAAAUACUGUGAUGGCAUGUGCUCGUGUGCUUCAUUCAGUUUUGCUUUUCCUUGUUUAAUAUACCUUUACUAUGAAUUUUGAGUACAAAUUGCAUCUGGUUCUUUAUUCACAAGGGAUCAGAAGUCAUACCCUAACUUCAUCAUUGUUGAUGCUUUUAUUUUGUUGUUGUUCUGUGUAGGAUAGUUCCCACCAACAUGCCCCAAGGAAUUGGUUUAAACAUAACAAUAUACUCGUUAAUUUUAUGUGGAUUGUUUUUGGGCACUUAUUGUUUUCUGUAUUAACAAAUAUUUCAUAUUAAAUUCGGUGAACUUUGUUGUCCAGUCUUAAUUCUUUAUAUAAAAAUAGUCUGAAUUAAUCACAUUAUUGCCUUAAAUUGUAAAUUGUAUUUUACUUUCAAAUAUAAUUUAAAGUACUGUAAUUUCAAAGUUUCCUUUAUUAAUUCAAAUAGUUUUACAUUUUUACAACUGUACUGUGAUAAGAGCAUGAUAUUCUUUCAAUUGUAAUUAGUUUGUAAAAGUAUAGAGUUUGUAGUGGAGCUAAAUUCAGAUUUUUCAAUACUCUUUCCUGUAUAAUUAUUGUUAUGGGAAGGAUAAGGUAAAUUUGUCCUGUAUAAUUAUUGUUAUGGGAAGGAUAAGGUAAAUUUGUCCUGUAUAAUUAUUGUUAUGGGAAGGAUAAGGUAAAUUUGUCCUGUAUAAUUAUUGUUAUGGGAAGGAUAAGGUAAAUUUGUCCUGUAUAAUUAUUGUUAUGGGAAGGAUAAGGUAAAUUUGGAAGAAUGAACAGACUAGAGAAUAACUUUUUUUUUUCCCAUAGCUCACUUGUCAGUCACAUUAUAAAGUUGUAUAUCACACACACAGCAAAGUUGUGUGUGGGAUACACCUUGACUAUUGGUGUUAACAGUGAACUGCUACAAUGUGAUGGGUGAUUACAAUGUCCGCUUUCUAGUAAUGUUAUCAACAUUUAUUUAACGUGAAAAUACAGACCUAUAUAAUAAUAUCCAUGGCGUCCAUGUGUCGGCAUCACUUGACCUUUGCUAAUGAUGUUCUUUAUUAAGAUGUGCUCAAUAUGCUGGUCUGGGCUAAGUUAGCUGGUUAUACAGUACCUUGUACUUCAUUUUAGUGCAUCUAUAAUGCUAGUGAACAUUUUUGGAUUUGUUAAUGUUUAAAUUAUUAGGCAACAAAAUAUUGGCCAUAUUCAAGCUAAUGUUUUAGAGAUCAUUAGUGUUAGGAAUUGUAAUUUUUGAAAAUUAUUUGUGUACUGUAUAUAGAGCCAAUCUUACGAAAUUGUAAGCUCUUGCUUCAAGUAGGGAACUGAAGAAAAUAGAAUUUGCAGUGAUUACUACUUGUAAAAUAAAUGUGAAAAUCAUAAAGCUUCUUAUAAUAAAAGAAUUUUAGGUCCAUAUUGACCUACCAUAAUGCACUGUUAUACUGGAAUGCAUUUGGAGCUGUCAUUGGUUUGUGCCAAGAGUAGCAGCUUAAACAUUUUAAUAGGCAAUUAAAGGUAUUGACUAGUUUACUCGAGAUUAAUGUAGUGAAUGCUUAUGUGUAAACAUUAGUUAGGUAAGGCUACUGAAUUGCUAUUUGUGACACUAAAUACAACUAUAAACAUUACUUCUCUUGUGUAUAAUGAGUCUUGCCCAGCAUUUAAGGGAUUUCUUGAAGAAAUUUAAAGAUCUUUGACUCCUUCAAGUGGGAUGCAAUGUCCACAUUAUAGCAGCUUGUAUUUAUAUUUACCAGAAAUCCAGUUGCCCAGGAAUUACUUGUAGUCACAUUGCACUCACUCGAACUCAUUGAAGUUUUAUACAAGAUAUGUUUUUACUUCAGAAGGAGAUGCUCAAAGUUUCAAUAAUUUUCAUCCUGUAAUGUCUUUUAGCCUUCAUACUUUAUUGACUGUAUGUGCAAUGAUGUAUGUAAGUGAGCAAAUGUCUUUAAAUUUUUAGGAAAAAUUUAAUUUGUAUGUCUUGUUACAGUUUAUAUAAAAAGGUUGUCAUGUAGAACUGUAUAUUUUACAUCAUCGUGGUGGAUUUGACAAAUGUUCAGACAAUGUUUCCCAUGGAAAACUCUGCCCAAGAAUGUGCCAUGAUGAAAAGUGGAAUAAAUUAUUGUUUUUAGUGUUAGUGAAGUCAGGGUUGAAAUUGCAGUUAACCUAAUGUAGAUAAGGUGAAAUAUGGUGCAAAUAACCCAGUGUUUCAAUUUUGAUCAACGCAUGUUCAAGUGGUCUGUUUUGAUAUAUUUUUAUCAUUUAUUGUACAUUACUGGAGGUUCAGUCAUGACAAGCCUGUGCCCUGGUGUUUCUUGUAUAUAGCUAGUAUUAGGUAUUGUUUGAUUGUGCUCAUUGAGUGACUUUUUUUUUGUUAUAAGAAAUAUAGAAACAAAUUUUA
Non-coding RNA from Procambarus clarkii (red swamp crayfish), 6738 nucleotides. Lineage: Eukaryota; Metazoa; Arthropoda; Malacostraca; Decapoda; Cambaridae. The record is from RefSeq and is a predicted model, not a curated record.